RNAcentral lists this ribosomal RNA (460 nucleotides) under uncultured bacterium. RNAcentral's name for it is "partial 16S ribosomal RNA". It matches the Rfam family "Bacterial small subunit ribosomal RNA", at positions 338 to 795 of the family's 1533-position model. The record is from RNAcentral.
CCUACGGGAGGCUGCAGUGAGGAAUAUUGGUCAAUGGACGAGAGUCUGAACCAGCCAAGUAGCGUGAAGGAUGACUGCCCUAUGGGUUGUAAACUUCUUUUAUAUGGGAAUAAAAUGUUCCACGUGUGGGAUUUUGUAUGUACCAUAUGAAUAAGGAUCGGCUAACUCCGUGCCAGCAGCCGCGGUAAUACGGAGGAUCCGAGCGUUAUCCGGUUUUAUUGGGUUUAAAGGGAGCGUAGGUGGAUUGUUAAGUCAGUUGUGAAAGUUUGCGGCUCAACCGUAAAAUUGCAGUUGAAACUGGCAGUCUUGAGUACAGUAGAGGUGGGCGGAAUUCGUGGUGUAGCGGUGAAAUGCUUAGAUAUCACGAAGAACUCCGAUUGCGAAGGCAGUUCACUGGACUGCAACUGACACUGAGGCUCGAAAGUGUGGGUAUCAAACAGGAUUAGAUACCCUAGUAGUC